UUUGGUUUGUUACGGGUGGUUGGCUGUCUGCUCGCGCAGCAACGUCCACGCGUGCUUACCUCUUCAUUUUAGCGACAAGGCUUGUUUUGCCUUGAGCAGCUUGUGGGUUUCCUGUGUUGCAUACCUAAUCGACGGUAACGUGUGGGUUUAUAGACGUCCCUUUUCGUCAUGCGUCGCACAUGUGGCGUGGGAUGAACCUUGAAGCAGGCUUUGUGGUCCGCUUUGUUGGUGCUUUUGCAUCGACGAAGUGGCCCUUAAGGCAUCGCUUGGUCUCUUGUAUACGGAACCUGAUGUGGGCAUGGGUCUUUCGGGAUCCUGUAUUUGCCCUAUUUAAGCGUUCUCGCUUCUCCAAAACGAUUGUCCGUCACGUCUCGGCUUGUCCUUGCGUGGCGGGCUGCGUCGAAGA
Molecule: unclassified non-coding RNA, 406 nt
Filed under: Cirsium sp. SN14
Lineage: Eukaryota; Viridiplantae; Streptophyta; Magnoliopsida; Asterales; Asteraceae
Also listed under: 1 other name
Description: partial contains external transcribed spacer and 18S ribosomal RNA
Source: RNAcentral